CAGACUUGGCCCUGUCAAGGCUGGUUUCACGUGUCUUCUCUCUCUCACCGACGCCAUUCAUCCUGAGGGUACCCCCUGGAUCAUGCUGAGGCUGAACCCCGGCAGAGAGGCUGAUCUCUGUAGAAGUAGAGAUCAGGCAUGACCUCCCAUGGGUGUUCACAGAAGAUGGUACCACAUAUGUGCGGAACUUCCCAGGUGAGCAUCUACCACAGCAGACCUACUGAGUGAGCUCCCUUUUUGCACAGAAUGGCAGUGUCUACAGAAUGCAGAAGAGAGUCUCUGUUACACAGAGCAAUGGUGAGUUCUGUACCAGGAGCGCCACCUGGGAAGCCACCUGGGAACUUCCACUUUCAGCAAUGAUAGGCAGCUUAACAUAAGAGGCCUCUGUAGAAGCUGGUGGUCAGCCCUGGGGUCAGUAACCACCAGAAGUCU
Cervus elaphus (red deer) is the source of this 432-nucleotide long non-coding RNA. RefSeq lists it as uncharacterized. NCBI's taxonomy places the organism in Eukaryota, Metazoa, Chordata, Mammalia, Artiodactyla, Cervidae. The transcript has 3 exons. The record is from RefSeq and is a predicted model, not a curated record.